AGCUCUGGAACGCUUUUUUAGCGUUCUUCUCCAGAUUUGCACUCUGGCGUUAACACCGCAGAAC
RNAcentral lists this transfer RNA (64 nucleotides) under Dasia olivacea. RNAcentral describes it as "tRNA-Cys". Lineage: Eukaryota; Metazoa; Chordata; Lepidosauria; Squamata; Scincidae. The record is from RNAcentral.